RNAcentral lists this ribosomal RNA (266 nucleotides) under uncultured Staphylococcus sp. RNAcentral describes it as "partial 16S ribosomal RNA". It matches the Rfam family "Bacterial small subunit ribosomal RNA", at positions 96 to 354 of the family's 1533-position model. Lineage: Bacteria; Bacillati; Bacillota; Bacilli; Caryophanales; Staphylococcaceae. The record is from RNAcentral.
CGGCGGACGGGUGAGUAACACGUGGGUAACCUACCUAUAAGACUGGGAUAACUCCGGGAAACCGGGGCUAAUACCGGAUAAUACAUGAAACCGCAUGGUUUCAUGAUGAAAGACGGUUUUGCUGUCACUUAUAGAUGGACCCGCGGCGUAUUAGCUAGUUGGUAGGGUAACGGCCUACCAAGGCGAUGAUGCAUAGCCGAGUUGAGAGACUGAUCGGCCACAUUGGGACUGAGACACGGCCCAAACUCCUACGGGAGGCAGCAGGC